Molecule: ribosomal RNA, 252 nt
Filed under: uncultured bacterium
Lineage: Bacteria
Description: partial 16S ribosomal RNA
Rfam family: Bacterial small subunit ribosomal RNA
Source: RNAcentral
ACAGAGGGUGCAAGCGUUAAUCGGAAUUACUGGGCGUAAAGCGUACGUAGGCGGUUAUUUAAGUCGGAUGUGAAAUCCCCGGGCUCAACCUGGGAAUUGCAUCCGAUACUGAAUAACUAGAGUAUGGUAGAGGAAAGUGGAAUUUCCGGUGUAGCGGUGAAAUGCGUAGAUAUCGGAAGGAACACCAGUGGCGAAGGCGGCUUUCUGGACCAAUACUGACGCUGAGGUACGAAAGCGUGGGGAGCAAACAGG